AUAUUUUGUUGGAUAUAUAUGAGAAGAUGAAAGCGACAUCUACUCGUUAAUAUGAACAAGUAAAAACGUAAGAAGUCACAGAUGGCUGUCUCAAAUCAACAACCGGUGCAGUGAACGAGCGAAGUGACGCGGUUAUGUACGCAAAACAAUCGCGUCAGACGCGUAAAACAUCGUGAAACAUGUAAGGAGUUGUUAUCAUAAGUGCCAUCGUGUUGAAUUUUACGUUUCUUUUUGUUUUACAAUACGGCCGAUUACUAGUGAAAGCAAAAUUUGGCUCGAUCCGCCGUUGUCUUUACGAAUUGGUUUUAUCAUCGGUGACGUACGGUUUUGGGGCACCGAGGCCAAACACGAAUCGCUGUUCAAGGAUGAGCGCGAACAAUGUGCAAGCACUUUUCGCAUGUUCAAGAUGCUUUUCAAGGCAUCCUUUUGAAGAACUUUCUCCAGGGCAACAAUUGUGUAAGGAAUGCAGAGGUGCAUUUCCUGUGGUGAAAUGUACAUAUUGUAGAUCGGAAUUCCAACAAACGAUAAAGGGCAAUACAAGCACUAUUUGUAAGAAAUGUGAACAAAAUGUGAAAUCUUAUGGUAAACCAUCGGCCUGUGAAUAUUGCAAUACCAUAGCUGCAUUUAUUGGUAGUAAAUGUCAAAGAUGUACAAAUUCUGAGAAGCGUUAUGGGCCACCAGUUACUUGCGAACAAUGCAAACAAAAGUGUGCCUUUGACAGACAAGAUGAAGAUAAGAAGGUUGAUGGAAAAUUAUUAUGUUGGCUGUGCACAUUGUCAUACAAACGAGCAUUGGCAAAAACAAAACAAUCCGAUGCUGAAAGGAGGGCACAUUUGAAAUUAGCACAACAACGAGCAGCAAAGCACAAAGAACAAAAAUUAAAAAGUCACAAUAAGAGACCACACAGAAUAGAUGUAACGAAGCUACCGCCUCAAUCUGAAGGUGCGGACACAAAUGGUCCAACACCGGUGAAAGCAGCGCGAAUGGUUGGUGUCCAUGAUCCACAUGAUCCCAAUAGUUCGGAUCAUGUAGUCGCCGUUACACAACUUAAGGAAAAGAUAGCUCAUCUUCAAAAACAAAUAUCUAUUAAAGAUGGGCAAUUACUUGCUAAAGAUAGACAAAUUACAGAAUUGAAAGCAAAAAAUUUUACAUCAGAAACAGAGCUGCGUAAUAAAAUGAAGGCGACAGAAAAAGAGUACGAAGCCAAAAUAUCAACGAUGCAACACAAGAUUUCCAGUUUGCUGAAAGAAGUUGCUUCCUUAUCAAAGAGUUCUAAGCGAGGUGAUAGAGUAGCUGCCACAAAAACAGAAGCUGGGACCAACAGUGGAAGCGGAACAGACAGUCCUGUACCUUGAUAAGAUGGCGGGCACACGCGAGCGGAUCCGAGCGGAGCGCGAUUAAAAGUGAAGGCUGUUGACCACGUGGCCGGAGGUCAUAGCGGCGUAGGCAGACGUUACUCUCUUCUCGUCUGGUGGAAGCGAGCCGCGAGGCUGGUGUGGUGGCGAGGCCUGGGCUGCGCCUCGCCGAGCGGUAUGAAAGGAGAAGAAGAAGAAGAAGAACACUGCGCGGAAAUGAAUCCUCCUGUGACGAUGAUGAAUCCCCCGGACCCGUGGAGUGGCGAGAGGUGUGCGGGGUGUGCGGAGAGGUGAAUGGAGGGCUCGGAUAAAGAAAGUUACGUCACUGUUGGCGCGUUGCUGGCGACUCCCGGCUCCCCGUCGCAGGAGCGGCACACGCAUCGCGGAAAGUCGACGGACAAGGAAGGAAGUUCACAGCGGAUAGGAGGAACGUUAGGAUUCGAAGGAGAAAGGGGUGACGAUUGGCGACCUAAUAAGACCGAGGGGGAUAUUCAGGGACACUGGUACGGAGAGCAGAGAGAAAGAGAGAGGAUGGACGUCACAGGAGGAAACGAGAACUACCGUGUUGAGGGGGGUAGGGAUGAAGAAGAGAAAGAGAGAGAGAGAGAGAGAGGAGGGUCGCUGUGUGCUCGGUCGAAGACACGAGACACACGGCGACCGCUCGUUACAUAAGUAAGGUAAAGGAUCUCCUCUUCUGCUCUCCUUGAGUCGAUCCACAUCCGCGAUUAUGCCACUUUCCAUCGACCUCGCUUCACCUCGGCUCGCCGUGCAUCGACACCACGUGUGUGCGUGUGUGUACGUGCAACGGAAGCUCGUGAUUUCCUUUAUGGAUCGAAAUCCGGAGCUUCCUUGAAAAAAAAAAGGUCGAAUUAGGAUUCCAGCUAUCGAGAGAGAAAAGAACCAUUUUUCUCCUUCUCUCUAUAAAGAUCGAAAAUGGAAUGGAAUUUUUUUUUUUUUUAAUAAAAAAUUGAUAAAAAUCAUCGAGACACGGUUGAAAAUUAAUCACUCGGAUCCUUGGAGAAGGAAAUUAAUCAUUGUUCCCUUUGAACUGGAAAAUUUGAAAAUGAAAAGAUUAGAUAUAGUCCGAGGCGACUGUCACCGGGAGACAAAAGGAAUUGUGUCAGUUUUUUUCCUCCGGAACACCUGGAGAAGAGGAGGCAGAGAAUUAUGCCAGCCCGUUCUUCAGCCCCCGCAGCAUAUUGUCCGGGAAGCUUGCCGCGGGGAAAAAAAAGGUUUAUUAAAUUUUUCAUUUUCCUAGAAUCAAAUGAUUUUAAUUAAGUCUUAAAGUCUUAUCUAUAAUUGGUUUCUAUAAUUUCGUUAAUUAUCAAAUAUUUCGAUAUAAUAUAUUUCCAUUUCUUUUUUUUUCUUUUUUCAAAGAAUCUUCUGUACGAACAAGAACAAGACGAAAUCGCGAUGAUCCUGAUUCAAAAUUAAAUCUUUCUGGCCGUAUAGUUGUAAACAGGAAACGGGGUAAUGGAUUACGUCAAUAAAAAAAAUGUAUCGAACGGAUCGAACAAAACGUAUCAUUCUAUCGUUGUAUUAUGUAAAAAAGCGUCUUGCUUGGUUCGAUCAAUUUGUUACGUCCGCAGUUUUUACGAAACAUUCGUUCUCCGAUCUUUCUUUUAUUCCUCCUCCUUCCUUCCUCUUCGCUCGCGAUGUAAAGUUAAUUGGCGUAGCGCGGUUACUCGAUUUACAUGAGUCUUAAUUAAGCGACUACUCUUGCUCGUCUCAACGCGUACGAAAUUACCGGCCUGUAUGGAAUUUUCGAAGUAAUUGUUACGUGUUUUAUGCUCGGACGAGGGAAGAGGUUGGACGGAUACAAAUCCUCAAGAUCGUAAAUUCGCCUUUUUUAAUAUCACACCGGGUUAGGGCGAUCGUUCCCGUAAUGGCUCACGUUCGUCCAUUCGAUAUAUUUUCGACGAAUAUUACGCCCUCUCGAUUAGUACGCCUCCUCUGCCCAAUGGAAAAAUCGUUUCCCGUGACCGUUAACGUCCCCUUGGAUGGAUGGGACGCUUUAGAAGUUUAUAGUCCGGGUUAUGGUUUCUCGUGAGAUCGGUGAUAUUGACGAGUCGUUGAACUUUACAAUAUAACUUCGACGAUAACGCGACCUUGCCUUUGAACGGCGGAAGAACACUCGAGCGAAAAAAGAUCUCCACAAGGAAGCUGCGCUUUCUCUUGUGGAAAAUCCUCGAUCGGAUAGAGAGAAAAGGAAAAUGCGAUAUUCGUAUUUAAUCGAAUAGAAAUUAUAAGAAGUUUUAAAAAAAUUUUAACGGGUAAGUUCGAUUUAUUUUUCUUCAAUUUUUCUUCAAUUUGUUGCAUUCGAUAGAAUUUUUCGCGGACAGGAAACGCUAUAACCAUCUAGCGGUCGAAUGGUACAAUCAAAAUGCUCCUGGUAACGUGCAACACGAUGAGCUAUCGUGCGUGCAUUUUGCCAGCUGAUGUUGAAUGUAGACACCUUCUUUACCAUCUUCUGUAAAUCUUUAUCCAGAUUCUUAAUUUUUCUUAGCACUUAAUGUACAGUUACAUUUUUUUUAUUUCUCACUUUUGAAUUUCUCAGUUAUUAAAUGGAUAAAAAAAUCAUAAAUCUUUGUAAAUAAUUACAUUUAUUUAUUUAUCAAUUUCACAGUAUAACAGUGUAUACGAUACGCUGAAUAUAGAAUAAUCUCUGCUCUUUAUCGUUUACUAAUUAAGGCGAUUAGUAUGUGAGUGUGAUCGGUAAGAACAUAUAUUAUAUAGCACGUGUACUUUUUUAUUGGUCGUCAUAAUAUCCUUUUGUCGCUCUUUCUUCUUAUUCUUCUUAUAAUUUUUUUUUAUUUUUUAUAUAUAUAUAUAGAGGUACGCUACCGUUUAUCUGCCCAUUCAUUUCAAUAUUUAUUUUAUCUCUUCUCGACGGUAACACAUCUCUACCGUAUAGUACCGUAAAUAUAUAUAUAUAUAUAUAUAUAUUAUAUAUGUAUAU
This is an RNA transcript of Apis cerana (Asiatic honeybee), 4314 nucleotides long. It is a transcript of the gene named protein FAM76A, with no coding region annotated. NCBI's taxonomy places the organism in Eukaryota, Metazoa, Arthropoda, Insecta, Hymenoptera, Apidae. The record is from RefSeq and is a predicted model, not a curated record.